Solenopsis invicta (red fire ant) is the source of this 1626-nucleotide long non-coding RNA. RefSeq lists it as uncharacterized. The record is from RefSeq and is a predicted model, not a curated record. NCBI's taxonomy places the organism in Eukaryota, Metazoa, Arthropoda, Insecta, Hymenoptera, Formicidae. The transcript is spliced from 3 exons.
AUAUUGACUCACCCCUCCUAAAGCGACACUCUCGUAUUUCUCGGAAACUAAAUUAUUAAUUUAUUAAAUAAAUAUAAAUUAUUAAAUUACUAUUGCACCCUUAACACUGAUAGAAACGUGAUCUGUUUAAAUAAAAGCAUGUAUUUAUGCUGUUGAGAGAGAGAGAGAGAGAGAGAGAGAGAGAGAAAAGUUUUAUUUUUAACUUUUGUUUAGGAAUUAUUAUUCAGAAACAAAAUAGGAUGACAGUAUUGGCGGCUUUCCACUAUAGCUCUUAUCUAUGUUCAAUUCCGCGAAUAUUUCGAGGCGACAAACACGCCUCGCAUUCUCUACACGCCUUGGCUCUGAAAAUUAAGAAUUAUUUUGCAAAAGGACAUGCGCAGGGAAAUGAUACUCCACCCACGCGCGAUUGGAUUGCAACGCACGCUCGCGAGAGAUGCGGAGAACGAGAGAAGAGAGAAGGAGGUAGGCAAAAGAGAAAGCAAGCUGAAACGAGCGGAUUACGAGCCGAGCGCGUAUGCGAGAUUCAACAAGUGCACCCGCGACGUGGGUGAGUCACCGAGAGAGAAAAAUACAAGCGGGGGAAUGAAAUAUUGGGCGCGUGGGUUCGACCGAAUUGGGGAUAUCGGAGAAAAAAGUAUCGCGCGUGACUCAACGCCUGCAUAACUGAGAAAUCAGGAUUCCGCGCCGUAAACAACCGAAAGGUUAAUUCGUUUUUGCAUGCUGCCAAUUAAAGUGGAUAUAUUACUGCCAUCCUUCGUGCGCUGGCGCGAGACAGCGGCUUCGUGUUGUUUCCCGCAGAAAUUCCUUAAGGACGCUGCCGAGACCGACAGGUGCGCGCAACAGUCUUAUACAAGCGAGACAGAGGAAAGGAGAGAAAGAAGGAAAUUCGUUACACCUGCGUGUGUUCCCUGCGCUUCAAGGUUUCUCGUCGACAUGAACGUGUCACGUCUGGGUUAUGCGAUUUCGUCUAACAUUAUGCGCGCCGACGUAAACGGUAGCAAUAUAACGCUCCGUCGACGUCGCUUACGUAAGAACGAACGCUCGAGGAAGCUCGCCUUAUCUUGCCGCACGUCAGAAGUCCAGACGCGACGUCGGCCACGAACUCUUAAUACGUGCAUUCCGGGGACAACGGGAAUUCCACGGAUAUUUCCAUCUCACCGCGAAAGCUCCAUAUCCAUACCACUCGUCUAAGCAUCCUUGCAGCGAGAGAAAGCUGCUUGGUACUUGUGACUGUAAUUGCAUGCGGACAUCCCCGGCUUGCACGCGACUUUUGAUGACGGAAAUGAAAAUUGUAUGAAAUAUGAUUCGACGAUCUUCUCGUGAUACUCCUCAGCGCUUUUGUGCGCCAAAGAAUGCCGCGACAUGCCGCGGCGCCGAUGACGCAUUCGCGCGACAUAGACGGGGCCUGCCCGAUGCCGCGCAUUUCUUGCACGCAAUAGUAAUGUGCGGCGAGAAAAGACAAAAGUGAAAAAUUGGACGAACGCAGGUGAAUGGAAAUUUAUCAAACUAGACCGAGAAAUCAGUGUUCCAGGUAAAGGUAACGGUUAAACCGAAUUUCGCAGGUAUCCAAAUACAUAUACCUCUAUUCCAUGAAAAAAUAAAAAAAAAUGCGUACAACCCUGUGAA